This is a non-coding RNA of Multifurca ochricompacta, 97 nucleotides long. The record is from the annotation of a GenBank genome assembly. Lineage: Eukaryota; Fungi; Basidiomycota; Agaricomycetes; Russulales; Russulaceae.
UCCCGUUUAGCUCAGUUGGUAGAGCGCGUCACUAGUACUCGGGAUCAGGCUCGCUUACAUAAUGACGAGGUCAGUCGUUCAAGUCGGCUAAUGGGAA